GGAAAUGAUCUUUCAGCUGAGAUGGGUGGUACGUUGGGGUUCGAUGUCUUUAGGAUUCCUCAGCUUGAUGGAUGUGUUCUGGAACCUAAGAAGUCCAAGAGGAAAGUGCCAGAUGAUUCAGUUCCUGGUGAGGAUCCUGUUUCUGGUUUGCAGACGACUGCGUUCUUGCUGUAUCCUCACAUGGAAAAGAGAGUUUUCUCAUGUCUCUUCUUAAAAUGGCACCAAUCCCACCAUGACCGCCCUACACUCUUGACCUCAUGCAAACCUAAUCAUCUCCCAAAGGUCCUGCCUCCAAAUACCAUCACACUGGGGCUAGGGCUUCAACCUAGAAUUUUUGGGGGUGUGGAUAAAAUUCAUUCUAUUAAAGAAAUACAUUUAUAAGACUGGCUGUUGGAAGAAUUGGGCAGGAGUGGGAGUAAGUCUUGGUUUGAGAGAAAUGAGAAAUCAACACUUUCAUACCUCACCUUCCUGUUUACCUCUUAGGUCUUGACUUAAAAAUACCCAGCAAUACGGUAUUUCAAGAAUGUGCUUCUUAAAGCUAAAUCACAUCAUUCAGAUAAUAUCUCCUUAUUGGAAAGCCGGAUGUUCAUAAAGCCUUGAUAAAUAGUUCAGCCGCUUUAUGCCUCACGCACUCAAAUCAUUACACAGUGUAUGACUAUAUAAUAAAACCAUUGGUCCUUGGGGAAAACAUUUACUUUCAAGUCGCCUAGAGACUUUCCAAGUUUCUGCUUUUCAAAGACUGUGUCUGAAUUAUGCAAAACUUUCCCCAUUACCUCCAAUUUUCAGGGGUCAAUAUUCUUAUUAUGGAAGAAAACACCUGGUGUUUGCUGAAAAAGACUUUGCUAUGGAAAUCUUUAUUAAAUUAUUAAAUUAGAUGAAUCGGUGGCAGAGUGUUUCUUCUUAUCACUCUUUUGGUGAAUCUAGUCCAGCCAGAAGAGGCAUAUCCAAGAGGACCAAGGGACCCUGGUUCUGAGCCAAUGAUGUUGGACCUGCCACUUGACCCCCACGGCAGCCAACAAAUGGAUUUGUAGCAGCCUGAGAAGGGGCCUGGCAUCUAAGAUAGGCUGGGCUAUUGGAGCCUCUCUUUACUGAUAAUUUUUAUUUAAGAGAUACCUCAGAGGGCUGAAGUUGUGAGAAAUCUGGAGUGGUCUUGACACAAUAGGUGAAAGUUGUGCUUUUUAGUGCACAUAGAAGUCACUCGAGAUGCGUAUUUAACAAGCCAGUUCCUAGAACUCAGCCCCAGAGAUGCAGAUUCCAUUGUUCUGGCAUGGGGCUCAGGCACUGGUACAGUGUUUUCAACCAGUCCCUGAGUCAUUCUUAUGCAUCUGGUCCAAGACUACAUUUUUGGCCUUUAAAAAAAAAUUAAUGUUGUUUCCUAUAAUCUCAUUUGUUAACUUAUUUUCAAGGCUGAGCACACUGGCUCAUGCCUGUAAUCUUAGCACUUUGGGAGUCUGAGGCAGGAGGAUCACUUGAGGCCAGGAGUUCAAGACCAGCCUGGGCAACAGAGCAAGAUCCCAUCUCUACA
Molecule: long non-coding RNA, 1525 nt
Filed under: Homo sapiens (human)
Lineage: Eukaryota; Metazoa; Chordata; Mammalia; Primates; Hominidae
Description: HSALNT0330574
Source: RNAcentral